UGUGUAUGAUGACACAUCAGUAAUGCUGCAGACUCUAGAGUCUGGCCCAGUAGAGAAGCCAACCUUAAAAAGCCAAAGGCAAA
Molecule: non-coding RNA, 83 nt
Organism: Otolemur garnettii (small-eared galago)
Lineage: Eukaryota; Metazoa; Chordata; Mammalia; Primates; Galagidae
Source: Rfam